RNAcentral lists this ribosomal RNA (465 nucleotides) under uncultured bacterium. Its description in RNAcentral is "partial 16S ribosomal RNA". It matches the Rfam family "Bacterial small subunit ribosomal RNA", at positions 28 to 507 of the family's 1533-position model. The record is from RNAcentral.
GACGAACGCUGGCGGCGUGCUUAACACAUGCCAGUCGAACGGAAAGGCGCUGCUUGCUGGGUACUCGAGUGGCGAACGGGUGAGUAACACGUGGGUGAUUUGCCCUUCACUUCGGGUUAAGCCUGGGAAACUGGGCCUAAUACCGGAUAGGCGCCAUUUUUAGUGUGAUGGUUGGAAAGUUUUUUCGGUGUAUGAUGAGCUUGCGGCCUAUCAGCUUGUUGGUGGGGUAAUGGCCUACCAAGGCGGCGAGGGGUAGCCGGCCUGAGAGGGUGGACGGCCACACUGGGACUGAGGGACGGCACAGACUGGGAAGGGAGGCAGCAGGGGGGAAGAUUGAACAAGGGGCGCAAGCCGGAUGCAGAGACGCUGCGUAGGGGAUGACGGCCUUAGGGGUGAAAACUCGUUUCGAUAGGGACGAAGCUUUUUGUGACGGUACCUAGAGAAGAAGCACCGGCUAACUACGUG